GUGCUCGCUUCGGCAGCACAUAUACUAAAAUUGGAACGAUACAGAGAAGAUCAGCACUACCCCUGCACAAGGGACCUCAUUUCCGAGGGUAGCAAGAAGCAAAGCUUU
Octodon degus (degu) is the source of this 108-nucleotide small nuclear RNA. NCBI's taxonomy places the organism in Eukaryota, Metazoa, Chordata, Mammalia, Rodentia, Octodontidae. The record is from Ensembl.